This 138-nucleotide small nuclear RNA is filed under the name Salvator merianae (Argentine black and white tegu). Its description in RNAcentral is "U2 spliceosomal RNA (ENSSMRG00000019597.1)". The stretch from base 1 to 119 matches the Rfam family "U2 spliceosomal RNA". From Rfam's summary of the family: U2 is a small nuclear RNA (snRNA) component of the spliceosome (involved in pre-mRNA splicing). Complementary binding between U2 snRNA (in an area lying towards the 5' end but 3' to hairpin I) and the branchpoint sequence (BPS) of the intron results the bulging out of an unpaired adenosine, on the BPS, which initiates a nucleophilic attack at the intronic 5' splice site, thus starting the first of two transesterification reactions that mediate splicing. The record is from RNAcentral. Lineage: Eukaryota; Metazoa; Chordata; Lepidosauria; Squamata; Teiidae.
AAAGUUUCUCGGCCUUUUGGCUAAGAUCAAGUGUAGUAUCUGUUCUUAUCAGUUUAAUUUUGUGAUGUUCUAAGCAAAAUAUUGCAAAGUUCUGAAUUUCUGGUUCUGGCAUAUUCCAUACGGGCAGUUCUAGAUCUA